UUCGGAGGUACUCGAGUGGYGAACGGGUGAGUAACACGUGGGCAAUCUGCCCUGCACUUCGGGAUAAGCCUGGGAAACUGGGUCUAAUACCGGAUAGGACCUCAAGACGCAUGUCUUCUGGUGGAAAGCUUUUGCGGUGUGGGAUGGGCCCGCGGCCUAUCAGCUUGUUGGUGGGGUGACGGCCUACCAAGGCGACGACGGGUAGCCGGCCUGAGAGGGUGUCCGGCCACACUGGGACUGAGAUACGGCCCAGACUCCUACGGGAGGCAGCAGUGGGGAAUAUUGCACAAUGGGCGCAAGCCUGAUGCAGCGACGCCGCGUGGGGGAUGACGGCCUUCGGGUUGUAAACCUCUUUCACCAUCGACGAAGGUCCGGGUUUUCUCGGAUUGACGGUAGGUGGAGAAGAAGCACCGGCCAACUACGUGCCAGCAGCCGCGGUAAUACGUAGGGUGCGAGCGUUGUCCGGAAUUACUGGGCGUAAAGAGCUCGUAGGUGGUUUGUCGCGUUGUUCGUGAAAUCUCACGGCUUAACUGUGAGCGUGCGGGCGAUACGGGCAGACUAGAGUACUGCAGGGGAGACUGGAAUUCCUGGUGUAGCGGUGGAAUGCGCAGAUAUCAGGAGGAACACCGGUGGCGAAGGCGGGUCUCUGGGCAGUAACUGACGCUGAGGAGCGAAAGCGUGGGGAGCGAACAGGAUUAGAUACCCUGGUAGUCCACGCCGUAAACGGUGGGUACUAGGUGUGGGUUUCCUUCCUUGGGAUCCGUGCCGUAGCUAACGCAUUAAGUACCCCGCCUGGGGAGUACGGCCGCAAGGCUAAAACUCAAAGGAAUUGACGGGGGCCCGCACAAGCGGCGGAGCAUGUGGAUUAAUUCGAUGCAACGCGAAGAACCUUACCUGGGUUUGACAUGCACAGGACGCGUCUAGAGAUAGGCGUUCCCUUGUGGCCUGUGUGCAGGUGGUGCAUGGCUGUCGUCAGCUCGUGUCGUGAGAUGUUGGGUUAAGUCCCGCAACGAGCGCAACCCUUGUCUCAUGUUGCCAGCGGGUAAUGCCGGGGACUCGUGAGAGACUGCCGGGGUCAACUCGGAGGAAGGUGGGGAUGACGUCAAGUCAUCAUGCCCCUUAUGUCCAGGGCUUCACACAUGCUACAAUGGCCGGUACAAAGGGCUGCGAUGCCGUAAGGUUAAGCGAAUCCUUUUAAAGCCGGUCUCAGUUCGGAUUGGGGUCUGCAACUCGACCCCAUGAAGUCGGAGUCGCUAGUAAUCGCAGAUCAGCAACGCUGCGGUGAAUACGUUCCCGGGCCUUGUACACACCGCCCGUCACGUCAUGAAAGUCGGUAACACCCGAAGCCAGUGG
RNAcentral lists this ribosomal RNA (1353 nucleotides) under Mycobacterium sp. DWMJ-400A2. RNAcentral describes it as "bacterial SSU rRNA". It matches the Rfam family "Bacterial small subunit ribosomal RNA", at positions 80 to 1433 of the family's 1533-position model. The record is from RNAcentral. Lineage: Bacteria; Bacillati; Actinomycetota; Actinomycetes; Mycobacteriales; Mycobacteriaceae.